GAUGAACGCUGGCGGUAUGCUUAACACAUGCAAGUCGAACGGUCACUUCGGUGAUAGUGGCGGACGGGUGAGUAACGCGUGAGAAUCUGUCUUCAGGUCGGGGACAACAGUUAGAAAUGACUGCUAAUACCGGAUGUGCCUUUGGGUGAAAGAUUUAUUGCCUGAAAAAGAGCUCGCAUCAGAUUAGCUAGUAGGUGGUGUAAGAGACUACCUAGGCUCCGAUCUGUAGCUGGUCUGAGAGGACGAUUAGCCACACUGGAACUGAGACACGGUCCAGACUCCUACGGGAGGGGGGAAUGGGGGAUUUUGCGCCAUGGGCGGAAGCCUGACGGAGCAAUACCCCGUGAGGGACGAAGGCUUUUGGGUCGUAAACCUCUUUUCUCAAGGAAGGUGAUGACGGUACUUGAGGAAUAAGCAACGGCUAACUCUGUG
This 432-nucleotide ribosomal RNA is filed under the name uncultured bacterium. Its description in RNAcentral is "partial 16S ribosomal RNA". It matches the Rfam family "Bacterial small subunit ribosomal RNA", at positions 28 to 507 of the family's 1533-position model. The record is from RNAcentral.